Molecule: ribosomal RNA, 253 nt
Filed under: uncultured bacterium
Lineage: Bacteria
Description: partial 16S ribosomal RNA
Rfam family: Bacterial small subunit ribosomal RNA
Source: RNAcentral
GACGAACCGUCCAAACGUUAUUCGGAAUUACUGGGCUUAAAGGGUGCGUAGGCGGCCUGACAAGUUGGGUGUGAAAUACCUCGGCUCAACCGAGGAAUGGCGCUCAAAACUGUCAGGCUAGAGGAAGAUAGAGGUGAGCGGAACUUAAGGUGGAGCGGUGAAAUGCGUUGAUAUCUUAAGGAACACCCGUGGCGAAAGCGGCUCACUGGAUCUUUCCUGACGCUGAUGCACGAAAGCUAGGGGAGCAAACGGG